AGGCAUCAUAAGGUGGGUGGCUUCUUCUGCCACACACUCCAGCUAGAAUGCAAUGCCUCACCACAGCCACAGAAACAUGGGAGCAAUUGAUCAUGUACUGGAGCUGCUAAAACUGAGCCAAAAUAAAUCUUUCUUCUUUUUAAGGCUUCUUCUUAACUGAAGCUUGGCUUUGUGGCUACCUGGCCAUAGGCUUCUGAGCCAGACAUCAACAACCGUGCAAUCUGUGCAGAGGCCCCUGAAGAUUCAGAGACUGGGAAUGAGGUUGGAAACAGUUCAGCACCUCAGCGGGCCAACC
Molecule: long non-coding RNA, 295 nt
Filed under: Heterocephalus glaber (naked mole-rat)
Lineage: Eukaryota; Metazoa; Chordata; Mammalia; Rodentia; Bathyergidae
Description: lncRNA (ENSHGLG00100051232.1)
Source: RNAcentral